CCUACGUGCGGCAGCAGUGGGGAAUAUUGCACAAUGGGGGAAACCCUGAUGCAGCGACGCCGCGUGAGUGCAGAAGUAAUUCGUUAUGUAAAGCUCUAUCAGCAGGGAAGAAAAUGACGGUACCUGAGUAAGAAGCCCCGGCUAACUACGUGCCAGCAGCCGCGGUAAUACGUAGGGGGCAAGCGUUAUCCGGAUGUACUGGGUGUAAAUGGAGCGUAGACGGCAGUGCAAGUCUGGAGUGAAAGGCGGGGGCUCAACCCCCGGACUGCUCUGGAAACUGUACGGCUGGAGUGCAGGAGAGGUAAGUGUAAUUCCUAGUGUAGCGGUGAAAUGCGUAGAUAUUAGGAGGAACACCAGUGGCGAAGGCGGCUUACUGGACUGUAACUGACGUUGAGGCUCGAAAGCGUGGGGAGCAAACAGGAUUAGAUACCCCUGUAGUC
RNAcentral lists this ribosomal RNA (440 nucleotides) under uncultured bacterium. RNAcentral describes it as "partial 16S ribosomal RNA". It matches the Rfam family "Bacterial small subunit ribosomal RNA", at positions 338 to 795 of the family's 1533-position model. The record is from RNAcentral.